This is a regulatory RNA element of Felis catus (domestic cat), 46 nucleotides long. It matches the Rfam family "Histone 3' UTR stem-loop". From Rfam's summary of the family: The mRNAs of metazoan histone genes lack a poly-A tail. 3' end processing occurs at a site between a highly conserved stem-loop (modelled by this family) and a purine rich region around 20 nts downstream (the histone downstream element, or HDE). The stem-loop is bound by a 31 kDa stem-loop binding protein (SLBP - also termed the histone hairpin binding protein, or HBP). The record is from Rfam. NCBI's taxonomy places the organism in Eukaryota, Metazoa, Chordata, Mammalia, Carnivora, Felidae.
CUAAAGGCUCUUUUCAGAGCCACCACCAGUCCACAAAGGGUGCUGU